CUCGUUGGUUUCGCCCCGUGCGGGCCAUAGCGACGGCGGUGUGCUGAGGGAAGAUGGCGGCUCCGGCCUCUGCAGUGCUGCCGGCUCCGUGAGCGCGGCGCUCGCUCCUUUCCCCCUUCCCCUCCUCGCUUUUGCACCCCGUCCCUCCCGGCUGCCCUCCGCCUCUUCUCCUUCCCCGCCGGGGGCGUAGGGACCAUGUCGGAGUCGGAGGAGGAGGAGAGUCCGGACCACCAGCUCAAGCUAGUGGUGCUGGGGGACGGCACCACUGGCAAGACAUCCUUAGCUACACGUUUUGCUCAAGAAACAUUUGGAAAACAGUACAGACAAACCAUAGGAUUGGACUUCUUCUUGAAAAGGAUAAUAUUGCCAGGAAAUUUGAAUGUUACUCUUCAAGUGUGGGAUGUAGGGGGACAAACGAUAGGAGGCAAAAUGCUGGAUAAAUAUAUUUAUGGAGCUCAGGCUGUUCUCUUGGUUUAUGAUAUUACCAACAGCCAGAGUUUUGAAAAUUUAGAAGACUGGUAUAAUGCAGUAAAAAAAGUGAAUGAAGAAUCAGAAACACAGCCACUUGUGGCCUUGGUUGGAAAUAAAAUUGACUUGGAGCAUAUGCGCGCAGUGAAAGUUGACAAGCACCAGCGGUUUUGUCAGGAAAACAAUUUCAGUAGCCAUUUCGUGUCAGCCAAGACAGGAGAUUCUGUCUUCCUGUGUUUUCAGAGAAUUGCUGCUGACAUACUUGGCAUCAAAUUAAACAAAGCGGAAUUGGAACAAUCACAGGGUGAAGUUGAGCAGUUUAGCUUAAACUGCUGCUGAAAGUUGUUUUUAAGUGAAGCUGCCAGACUUUGUGCUGAAGCGGAUGAGGUGCAACUACAUGUUACAUUCCACCAGCUCUCCUUUGGCGGCAGUGAUCUCCAGCAGAGGAAUAGGACAGACAUUUGGGGGUGAGGGUGGUGAAAGCAGAUAUUGUCAACUACAGUCAGGAGCCUGUGACAAGAACCGUUAAUCCUCCUAGAAGCUCAAUGUGUGCAGUGCAAUGACCGUGCUAUUCUCUGUUUUGAUACCUUCGGCAGUUGUCCUACCCUGACACAGGCUCUGGGAUUACCAAGAACUUUAACAGUGACUGUCACAACAAUGCAAUUAGAGGCUUCACAAAUGUGUUACACCGUUGUACAUUGAGAAGCAGCAGGCAGGCAGUUUUUGUACUGGCUAAAAUUCAAACAUGAGACCACACACUUUGAAAAAUUAAGAUCUGUAUUCUUUUAAAUUAUAUUUAAAUAAAACAGUAUAACUGUGUUUAUAUAUUUUUUUUUUUUUUUUCUUAUUUGACUGAUACCGGAAUAAAAAUGGAUGAAGAAGUCCUGCAUUUAAAAUACUUUUAAGGACAUCACCAUGGAAGGGUAUUUUGCCAAAGCAUUUUUAAAAUUUUUUUCUUUUUUUUUCUCCUGUGAUCUGCACUAACACUCAGUAAAAUGUAACUUGGAAAAGGUAUUGCUGGAAUAAUUUCAAGCAGAUAAUGUAUUUUAUCUAGGGGUAAUUUGGAAAGUAUUCCAUUAAUAUAUGUACAUAGUGCAAAAUGUAUAAAUUGUAUCCACUAAGAAACAGUGCUUGAAAUAGAGCUGUAAUUAUAAAAAUAGUUUCUAAAGUCUCCAGUUGUCUCAAUGGAUACUCUGGAAAAUGCUAGUGCUUUUGUGUAUUUUUAUUACCACAUAAGCAUUAAUUCUUGCAGUAGUAGAUAUGCUUAUAUGUCUUCAUGAAUAUGGAUGAAGCUCGGUCAACAGUUUGGGCUGUAAAUGUUGAGUGAUGUAUUCAGCAUGCAUUAGAAACUGUUGAUAGAUCAAUUAGGAUCAGUCAUUUUUUAUAACUAAAGGAAUGACUUUUGGCCUGGUACUCUUUUCUUUCUAGUUCAGAGUAAAUGACUAAAAAGCUGUCUGCUCCGCGAUCAUCACAUUUCUCCUCUGUUCCUUUGCUGGCAGUCUCUUUUAGAUGUGUAGUUCUCUGCUGGCACAUCUGAACAGAAAGCUAAGGAGAAAAAAAAAAUUAAGCCAGCUUGAUUCCAAACUAGAAAUCUUUUCUAAACUAGAAAUAUUCUUCGUGAUUUAACUCUAGAAUGCGUUUUCUUAUAAAGUACAACAAAGCAUUUCAAGAUUUAAAGAAUUAAUGAGGCUGAGUGAAGGAAGCUUAUAUAGCACGAGUGAAAAUGAUAAGUUUCCUCAUGUAAGUGUUCCUAUUAAGUUGUUCAAGCAAGUGCUUAAUAGUUGGAACUACUAAACUCUAAUAAAAUAGUUGAACUAUCAUGUUAAAGGAAAGAUUGCAGAUGGCAAGAUUGUGCUUUUUGUUAUUAUUUUGGCAUAUUCCAGGUUCAUUGAAAAGCUAAGUUCGUUUCUAAACCAUUCAAAUGCAGCUUGACACAGUUUUAUAGCUACAUGAGGAUGACUUACUCUUUUAAUAUUUUAUCAUUCAAGUGUGGGAAAUUCUAAGAAACAAGCUGAGAUACUGAGAAAUUAUUCUACACUAAGGUAGGUGUGAAUUUACAGUAAGGGUUACAGUCUGUGUUCUUGGUCUUGUCCUGUGGAGUUCAUGUCCCACUGCAUAGUUGUGCCUUAUGGUUAAGCGCGACUGAACGGUGAACUGUGUCUUCCAGUACCACCAGAUGGGAACUUCUGUUCAAGCAGUUUCUCUGAAGUAGCUGGUAAGUUUACAAGGUUAUGCCCUCCAAAGCAUGUGGUGUAAGGUUUUUCGAACCCUCAGAUUUCUUGGUGUGUUUGUGUCCUGAACUCUGCCCAAUAUGUUCAAAUAUUCAUGAGAACUUCCCUUUCCCUGAGGAGCUGAGCAUGACCUGGCUUAGCUGGAUGGCUAGAGCCAUCUUUCUCUCGUGCAUGUGAGCAAGCUUCCCAAGUGAUAAGUAGCGUGGUCUUAAAAACUGAACAGUGCUUUUCUUUUAAACUUCCAUAAUCUUAACGUUUCAGAAGAAAUGCUUUUUAUAACUUGUAAUGCAGAGCCCAUUAUUACCUGAAAUAAUAAAAAAAUUUUGCUUUUAUACUUGGGCUAAUCUUGCAGUACGAAGGCUGUGAUACAUGUCCCAGUCCAAGGUAUUUUACAAACAGAUUUUAUGUCUCCAUUUCAUCAUGAUCUUUUAUUCUCAUGCCUGUUUCUCUAGCUGUCUGUGACUUGUCCAUCCUUUUGUGUUUUAUUCCCAUUGAUCUUUGCCCCAUUUUCUAUGUUAAAGCCAUACCCCUCUGGAGAUAUUAUUGUUUACAUUUCCAAGCUGCUCUCAUUCUUCCUCCCUAACAUUCAUGUAUGUUAUUUACGCUAACCAGGAAUCUCUUGUCUUCUGUGCCCCCAGCCCCUCCUUUUGCUGCCCCCCUUAACCUUCUCAGGUUUUCUGUAUUGUAUACUGACUUCCAUUCUCCCUGCCGUUCCCUACCCUUCCUGCCCCAUUUAGAUCCAUUACCUGUCCAUGUUUUAA
RNA transcript from Strigops habroptila (Kakapo), 3460 nucleotides. It is a transcript of the gene named RAB28, member RAS oncogene family, with no coding region annotated. Lineage: Eukaryota; Metazoa; Chordata; Aves; Psittaciformes; Psittacidae. The record is from RefSeq and is a predicted model, not a curated record. The transcript has 8 exons.